This 254-nucleotide ribosomal RNA is filed under the name uncultured bacterium. Its description in RNAcentral is "partial 16S ribosomal RNA". It matches the Rfam family "Bacterial small subunit ribosomal RNA", at positions 524 to 776 of the family's 1533-position model. The record is from RNAcentral.
GACAGAGGAUGCAAGCGUUGUCCGGAUUUAUUGGGCGUAAAGAGCUCGUAGGCGGUUUCGUAAGUCGGGUGUGAAAACUCUAGGCUCAACCUGGAGACGCCACCCGAUACUGCGAUGACUAGAGUCCGGUAGGGGAGUGUGGAAUUCCUGGUGUAGCGGUGAAAUGCGCAGAUAUCAGGAGGAACACCAACGGCGAAGGCAGCACUCUGGGCCGGAACUGACGCUGAGGAGCGAAAGCGUGGGUAGCGAACAGG